This 378-nucleotide unclassified non-coding RNA is filed under the name Hevea brasiliensis (rubber tree). Lineage: Eukaryota; Viridiplantae; Streptophyta; Magnoliopsida; Malpighiales; Euphorbiaceae. The record is from RNAcentral.
AAGAAUAUCUAUAAUCUUAAACAUGAAGGCUUUUCUCAUAAUAUGCAUUCUCUUGGCUACCAUCUUGUUCUCUCCCUCGGUGUCCGUUGCUGGAGCUCGAGAAUUAGCUGAGAAAGGUGCUCCAAUCAACUGCGGCCGCGGUAAAACAUAUUGCCUCCCUGAACCUCCUAAGCAAAAGUGCAAUCGUUACAUUCGCAAUUGUCCCCCUUGAAUGGAUUUAAUUACUUGAAAUCUCAACUAUCUACGCAUAUGGAGAAUAACUGUUCUCAACUAGUAGAACCUUGGGAACACGGCUUGUUUUCUCUCUAUUUGAAGUUUUAGCUUGUCUUGUAUCAUGUGAGACUUACAUAUAUGUACAAUAAUUGUGCGUAUCAAGCA